GAUGCCUGGAGGAGAAGAAGAAGACGACGUGCUCCUCCGCCACCCCCUCCUCCACCACCUCCUGAUCGAACAGCUCCGACAUUCACCUAUUGUCCGAAUGGUCUCGGCAAUCAGUAUACCACAACGACAUCGACGACCGUCUCGUGGAGAACGCCUACGGCGACUGAUAAUAGAGGUUAUGCCUCUGUAUCACUAACAUCUGGCUCUGGUCCUGGAUCUACCUUCACAGCUGGUUCUCAUUCGAUACGAUAUACAGCCAGGGACAGUGCCGGGAAUCAAGCAACUUGUACCGUCAGCUUUACGGUCAUUGGUAAGAAUGGAUUUAAAGGACAAGUCCACCGUACCCCAACAAAAAGUUUAUUUGAAUAAAAAUAGAAAAAUCCAACAAGCAAAGCACUGAAAAUUUCAUUGAAAUCGGAUGUAAAAUUAUGACACUUUAAAGUUUCGCUUAAAUUUAUAAAACAGUUGUAUGCACAUCCUGGUCUUUAUACAAAUGAGGGGACUGAUGACAUCACUCACUCACUAUUUCUUUUGUAUUUUAUAAUACGAAAUAUAAGAUAUUUAAUUUUCUCCUUAUUGUCAUGUGAAAUAAAGUCCUCCCUGAACAUGUGGAAUUGAUAAAGUUUAACAUUUUGUGUUUCAGUCUAGUUGGUCACUAUUGUCAAAUCUGUAAAAAAUGAAAUAUUGUAUAAUUCAAACAAUACAAAACAAAAGAUCAUCGACUCUCUCAUUUGCAUAUCACUGAGAUGUGCAUAUAACUAUUUUUUGAAAAAUAAGCGAACUUUGAAAUGUCAUAACUUUCUUAUUUUACAUCCGAUUCUGAUGAAAUUUUCAUUGUUGUGCUUGUUUGAUUUUUUCUUUAUUUACUCAAACCUACAGUUUUCUGGGGUGGACUUGACUUUUAAGGAUCGAUUGGUAUACAGAGGGAAAAAGAAAGGGGGUGGAGAGAGAGAGGGGGAGGGGCAGGGGGAUACUGUGAUAUUGAAUUAAUAGAUGUUAUUGUUUUUAUUAUUGUUGUCAUUAUGAAUUCAUAAUAUCAUCAAUGUCAUCAUAAUCAUCAAAAUCAUUUUCAUCGUAAUUAUCUUCCUAAUAGCCAUCACCAUCAGUAUGAUGAUGAUGAUGAUGAUGAUGAUCAUCAUCACCAUCGUCAUAACCAUAACCAGCACCGCCACCACCAUCAUCAUCGUCAUCACCAUUCUGUUCCAUUUUGUUCGAUUUCAUUAUCCUAUACUGUUUUCUUCUUGGUGUGAUCGUUUUUUUUUUUUGCGUUUUUUUCCCUUCAAGAUCUAAUGAUGCUUAAAGAUCAUGGGGAAUUUCACAGGAAAAGGUCGAGGUGGUUUUCUUUUUUUAUAGGAAGUUUUUAUAUCAAAAUAACAGACUUGAUAACCUGGGAAUUUGCCUAUGCUUACCAAAUGCAGAUCACAGAGAGUGAAUGCAAGCAAGCAAGAAAGAAUGAAAGGAAGAAAGAAAUAGAGACAGACGGGAAGAAUGAAAGAAAGACACAAACAAACGAUUAAAAAAAAUGGGGAAAUUAAGAAAUAACAUGGAAGAAAAAAAAGAGAAAAAAUUAAAGAUAAAUAGAGAAACAAAAAAAGAAGAUAAAUAGAGAGGGAAAGAAUGAAAUUAUAGAAAGAAAGAACGAAAGAAAGAGAGUGAGAGAGAGAGAGAG
Long non-coding RNA from Lytechinus pictus (painted urchin), 1669 nucleotides. RefSeq lists it as uncharacterized. The record is from RefSeq and is a predicted model, not a curated record. The transcript has 3 exons. Lineage: Eukaryota; Metazoa; Echinodermata; Echinoidea; Temnopleuroida; Toxopneustidae.